Long non-coding RNA from Daphnia pulicaria, 1436 nucleotides. RefSeq lists it as uncharacterized. Lineage: Eukaryota; Metazoa; Arthropoda; Branchiopoda; Diplostraca; Daphniidae. The transcript has 8 exons. The record is from RefSeq and is a predicted model, not a curated record.
UUAUUUUGCAUGGUUCUGAUUUUUAACGUCUGCCGAAUCGGAGGAAAACGUGAUCGACGUCCUGUCGCUUGACUCCGCGGUCGCUGUCGGUCAUCGAUGGGUCCCUCAUGGCUGCAAUUCGAGAUCGUACUGUAUGCUAAACGAGGGGGGGGGGGAUUCGGCGGCGGCGGGGGAGGCAUUCAAGAACGUGCAACACACAAGUGGAUGAGAAAUCGAAAUGGCCAAGGGCCAUUAUGUUCUUCAUCAAACACUUUAAAGCUUAGAAACAUAGGGCAGUGACCGUAAUCUGCAAACGGCCAUCCUGUUCCCAUAAUAUAUCCAACACACAAAACGAGUAUGGUCGUGACAUUUGGAACAGCACGGAACGAACCGCUUGAAACGACGGUCUAGUGCCCUCGUAACGACUUUGAACGGAAAGAAAAAGUGAUAUUGCUCGACGGCGUUGGAGAUUUCGGCGAUGCCGUAAAGGGCGGCGCAGAUCCGACGGAGCCUAGGGGGAAGUGCGUCUGACACGUCCGGGUUGCAGUGCGGUGGAGGAAUGCUGCCGGCCUCGGCGAAAGACGGCGCUCCGACUACCACCAACACGACGAAGCAGGCACCCGCUCAUUUCCUGUCCCAUUGAAUCUUUGAAUGCAAUUUGUUGGAACAAGUGGCGCCGGAUUAAUGGAGGUGCAGUGUGCGCCUUCUCACUUUAGACUGAACCUAAUGGUUAGACGGCAUGGAAGCUGAAAAUGCCAUCAUUUAUCACCCUUUCAUCAGACCCCUCUAAUUAAGGAAACUAAUAAUUGAGACCAUGCGUAGGCCAAUCAACGUCAUUCUUAUCAUUGGAACCUAACAAAUUUUCUGCGAACACUUUCGCUAUCUUUGACAUUUCCACUCUAUAGUUCAUUUGUCCCCAGAUCAAUCUGACAAACAACUUUCAGCCCGACUGCGCAUCAACAGGUGAACCGUGAUCUCUCAAACAAAGAACGGGAUAAAAAUUUUGAUUGCCGUCCGAUAUUCCAGCUUGUUACCAUCCGUCAAAGUUGCAAGCAGUCAUGGCUUAUCCCAUGACGUUCGUUCAAGACGAAAUCUUGUUCCCGAAAAAUGCCUAAUACUUGAACUCUGAAAACGAGUUCUCCGUGCCACUAGGCCAAUCGGCUGCAACUCGUAAGUUGGCUUAGAAACCAAUUUACAGCAACUUAACGGCACACAAAAGUGAGAAAGCACCGGAUAGAUAUGUCAUGGGCGAUCCUCGUUUCAAAAUUAUUCAUCGUGGGAAGAUGACGAGGACAAGCUGUACUAGAAAAGGAUUCUGCCGGGCCGUAAAUGUUCACUAAUGGAUACACUAUAGUUGACGAUAGCGAGACCACUCCCGCUUCCGUUUGCCGCGCCCCGUUUAAAACAGAUUAAUUUUGACAGUUGCGCUCGACAGGAAAUUUGAAUAAUCUACACGC